UACGUAGGGGGCGAGCGUUGUCCGGAGUUACUGGGCGUAAAGCGCACGCAGGCGGUCUGGUAAGUUUGGAGUGACAAUUCUCGGCUUAACUGAGAAGGGUCUUCGAAGACUGCCCGACUUGAGGGCUUACGAGGGACACGGAAUUCCGGGUGGAGUGGUGAAAUGCGUAGAGAUCCGGAGGAACACCAAAGGCGAAGGCAGUGUCCUGGGAAGUACCUGACGCUCAGGUGCGAAAGCUAGGGGAGCGAACGG
This 252-nucleotide ribosomal RNA is filed under the name uncultured bacterium. RNAcentral describes it as "partial 16S ribosomal RNA". It matches the Rfam family "Bacterial small subunit ribosomal RNA", at positions 524 to 775 of the family's 1533-position model. The record is from RNAcentral.